Beta vulgaris subsp. vulgaris (sugar beet) is the source of this 131-nucleotide long non-coding RNA. RefSeq lists it as uncharacterized. The record is from RefSeq and is a predicted model, not a curated record. Lineage: Eukaryota; Viridiplantae; Streptophyta; Magnoliopsida; Caryophyllales; Amaranthaceae. The transcript is spliced from 2 exons.
UUUCAGUUGUUGAAUGAUAUAGGGGUCCUAUUAUGUUUGUGAGUCUAAUUCCCUCAAAUCAGGUGUGUGUGUGUAUUUUAAUUUAACAAUUCGAGUGCAUUGCAUUGAAUUUACAAAUUGAGGGUUGUGUG